This 596-nucleotide long non-coding RNA is filed under the name Homo sapiens (human). Its description in RNAcentral is "long non-coding RNA NONHSAT168288.1". Lineage: Eukaryota; Metazoa; Chordata; Mammalia; Primates; Hominidae. The record is from RNAcentral.
GGGUGCGGAGCCCGGCGGGCUAGGCGAGGCGCGGGCUGGCCCCGCCCCUCAGGCCGGCGAGUCCCCUUCUCAGAGACUUGGCUAGGCGCGGCGCGAGGCGGGCGCUGGGCGGCGCCAGCAGCCCUGUGGUGGCGACGACGAUGGACCAGGAGCCAGUGGGCGGUGUGGAACGAGGAGAAGCCGUCGCAGCCUCGGGAGCUGCGGCCGCCGCGGCAUUCGGGGAAUCUGCAGGGCAGAAUCUCACUCUGUUGCCCAGGCUGAAGUUCAUGGCGCGAUCUCGGCUCGCUGCAACCUCCACCUCCCGGGUUCAAGCAAUUCUCCUGCCUCAGCCUCCUGUGUAGCUGGGAUUAUAGGCACGCUCCACCGCGCCUGGCUAAUUUUUGUAUUUUUUUAGUAGAGGUGGGAUUUCACCAUGUUAGCCAGGGUGGUCUCACACCCUUGACCUCAAGUUGUCUGCCCGCCUCAGUCUCCCAAAGUGCUGGGGUUACAAGCAUGAGCCACCAUGCCCAGCCACAGUGUAAAUUUUAUUUGUAAUUAUUGGAUUUCUGGUUCAAGUUGAUGUUUGAAAAAUAAAAAAAGAAAAAUAUUUUAAAAAU